UUGGAGGGCAAGUCUGGUGCCAGCAGCCGCGGUAAUUCCAGCUCCAAUAGCGUAUAUUAAAGUUGUUGCAGUUAAAAAGCUCGUAGUUGAAUUUCGGGGUCAGCAGGUUGGUCGUGCCAAUGGUAUGCACUGGCCUUGGUGAUUCCUCCCUCUUGUAGAACCGUAAUGCCAUUAAGUUGGUGUUGCGGGGAAACAGGACUGUUACUUUGAAAAAAUUAGAGUGUUUAAAGCAGGCUAACGCCUGAAUACAUUAGCAUGGAAUAAUGAAAUAGGACGUUCGAUCCUAUUUUGUUGGUUUCUAGGGUUGACGUAAUGAUUAAUAGGGAUAGUUGGGGGCAUUAGUAUUCAAUUGUCAGAGGUGAAAUUCUUGGAUUUAUUGAAGACUAACUACUGCGAAAGCAUUUGCCAAGGAUGUUUUCAUUAAUCAAGAACGAAAGUUAGGGGAUCGAAGACGAUCAGAUACCGUCGUAGUCUUAACCAUAAACUAUGCCGACUAGGGAUCGGAUGAUGUUAAUUUUUUAAUGACUCAUUCGGCGCCUUACGGGAAAC
Molecule: ribosomal RNA, 549 nt
Filed under: uncultured Glomus
Lineage: Eukaryota; Fungi; Glomeromycota; Glomeromycetes; Glomerales; Glomeraceae
Description: SSU rRNA
Rfam family: Eukaryotic small subunit ribosomal RNA
Source: RNAcentral